Molecule: ribosomal RNA, 1243 nt
Filed under: 'Jasminum nudiflorum' witches'-broom phytoplasma
Lineage: Bacteria; Bacillati; Mycoplasmatota; Mollicutes; Acholeplasmatales; Acholeplasmataceae
Description: bacterial SSU rRNA
Rfam family: Bacterial small subunit ribosomal RNA
Source: RNAcentral
UGACGGGCGGUGUGUACAAACCCCGAUAGGAGACAAGAAGGCAUCUUCUUGUUUUUAAAAGACCUAGCAAUAGGUAUGCUUAGGUAGGAGCUUGCGUCACAUUAGUUAGUUGGUGGGGUAAAGGCCUACCAAGACUAUGAUGUGUAGCCGGGCUGAGAGGUUGAACGGCCACAUUGGGACUGAGACACGGCCCAAACUCCUACGGGAGGCAGCAGUAGGGAAUUUUCGGCAAUGGAGGAAACUCUGACCGAGCAACGCCGCGUGAACGAUGAAGUAUUUCGGUACGUAAAGUUCUUUUAUUAGGGAAGAAUAAACGAUGGAAAAAUCAUUCUGACGGUACCUAAUGAAUAAGCCCCGGCUAACUAUGUGCCAGCAGCCGCGGUAAUACAUAGGGGGCAAGCGUUAUCCAGAAUUAUUGGGCGUAAAGGGUGCGUAGGCGGUUAAAUAAGUUUGUGGUCUAAGUGCAAUGCUCAACAUUGUGAUGCUAUAAAAACUGUUUAGCUAGAGUAAGAUAGAGGCAAGUGGAAUUCCAUGUGUAGUGGUAAAAUGCGUAAAUAUAUGGAGGAACACCAGUAGCGAAGGCGGCUUGCUGGGUCUUUACUGACGCUGAGGCACGAAAGCGUGGGGAGCAAACAGGAUUAGAUACCCUGGUAGUCCACGCCGUAAACGAUGAGUACUAAACGUUGGGUAAAACCAGUGUUGAAGUUAACACAUUAAGUACUCCGCCUGAGUAGUACGUACGCAAGUAUGAAACUUUAAGGAAUUGACGGGACUCCGCACAAGCGGUGGAUCAUGUUGUUUAAUUCGAAGGUACCUGAAAAACCUCACCAGGUCUUGACAUGCUUCUGCAAAGCUGUAGAAACACAGUGGAGGUUAUCAGUUGCACAGGUGGUGCAUGGUUGUCGUCAGCUCGUGUCGUGAGAUGUUGGGUUAAGUCCCGCAACGAGCGCAACCCUUAUUGUUAGUUACCAGCACGUAAUGGUGGGGACUUUAGCAAGACUGCCAGUGAUAAAUUGGAGGAAGGUGGGGACGACGUCAAAUCAUCAUGCCCCUUAUGACCUGGGCUACAAACGUGAUACAAUGGCUGUUACAAAGGGUAGCUGAAGCGCAAGUUUUUGGCGAAUCUCAAAAAAACAGUCUCAGUUCGGAUUGAAGUCUGCAACUCGACUUCAUGAAGUUGGAAUCGCUAGUAAUCGCGAAUCAGCAUGUCGCGGUGAAUACGUUCGCCAGUCUUAGCAGUCGU